UGGGUCUGGGUUAGGUGACGGCCUAUCUUAUUCUAACCCUAUUUGGGAAGGGCAUAGGCGCCGCGCCUUUGCUCCCCGCUUACUGUUUUCCCGCUGCCACCAUCCGAUCUAGAGCAAACAAAAAUAUCAGCGGCUGGCCAGGUCACCCUUCCCAGAAACCUGUGGGACUCACCUGCCCAGCCCCCGCACCCCGACCUGGAGGCUCUGCAGUCGCCCAGGGCUUCUCCGGAAGAGCCUUUGAACAGCACUAGUGAUGCCUUGAGAUCCUCCAGGCACACUGGAGAAGGCAACACAGAUGUGAAUAUAAACAGUC
This 313-nucleotide small RNA is filed under the name Pteropus vampyrus (large flying fox). RNAcentral's name for it is "Vertebrate telomerase RNA (ENSPVAG00000027992.1)". The record is from RNAcentral. Lineage: Eukaryota; Metazoa; Chordata; Mammalia; Chiroptera; Pteropodidae.